GACGAACGCUGGCGGCGCGCCUAACACAUGCAAGUCGAACGAGGUCUUUUAGGAGCUUGCUUUUGGAAGACCGAGUGGCGGACGGGUGAGUAACACGUGAGCAACCUGCCCUGGAGAGGGGAAUAACGCCUGGAAACGGACGCUAAUACCGCAUAACAUGCGGGGAGGACAUCCUUUCCGCAUCAAAGGAGAAAUCCGCUCUGGGAUGGGCUCGCGCCCGAUUAGGUAGUUGGUGGGGUAACGGCCCACCAAGCCGACGAUCGGUAGCCGGACUGAGAGGUUGAUCGGCCACAUUGGGACUGAGACACGGCCCAGACUCCUGCGGGAGACAGCAGUGGGGGGUAUUGCACAAUGGGGGAAACCCUGAUGCAGCGACGCCGCGUGAGUGAAGAAGUAUUUCGGUAUGUAAAGCUCUAGCAGCAGGGAAGAAAAUGACGGUACCUGACUAAGAAGCCCCGGCUAACUACGUGCCAGCCGCCGCCGUAAGAC
RNAcentral lists this ribosomal RNA (489 nucleotides) under uncultured bacterium. Its description in RNAcentral is "bacterial SSU rRNA". It matches the Rfam family "Bacterial small subunit ribosomal RNA", at positions 28 to 526 of the family's 1533-position model. The record is from RNAcentral.